This 767-nucleotide long non-coding RNA is filed under the name Homo sapiens (human). RNAcentral's name for it is "non-protein coding lnc-DPH5-2:8". The record is from RNAcentral. Lineage: Eukaryota; Metazoa; Chordata; Mammalia; Primates; Hominidae.
GUGGAACAAGAAGCAGAUAAUAUUUUAAAGGAUGCUGAUAUCAGUGAUGUUGCAUUCCUUGUGGUUGGUGAUCCAUUUGGACACUUGGAGACCAGAAAGCUUCUUUGACAAAGUGAAGAAGAACAGACAAAAUGGCAUGCACACAUUAUGUUUACUAGACAUCAAAGUAAAGGAGCAGUCUUUGGAAAAUCUAAUCAACAGUUACCGAGGAGACACUUUGUGUUGGCUUAGCCAGGGUUGGAGCCGACGACCAGAAAAUUGCAGCAGGCACUUUAAGGCAAAUGUGCACUGUGGACUUGGGAGAACCAUUGCAUUCCUUGAUCAUCACAGGAGGCAGCAUACAUCCAAUGGAGAUGGAGAUGCUAAGUCUGUUUUCCAUACCAGAAAAUAGCUCAGAAUCUCAAAGCAUCAAUGGACUUUGAACAUAGAUAUUUACCAUUGUCUGAUGUAAAUUUCAGCCAUAUAUGGAUUGAUAUGGUUUGGAUGUAUCCCCACCCAAGUCUCAUCUUGAAUUUUAAUCCUCAUAAUUCCCAGGUGUUGUGGUAGGUAAUUGAAUCAUGGGGGCAGUUUCCCUCAUGCUAUUCUCAUGAUAGUGAGCUUUCAUGAGAUCUGAUGGUUUUAUAAGUGCCUGGCAUUUCCCCUACUGGCUCUCAUUCUCACUCUUGCCGCCCUGUGAAGAGGUGCCUUCCACCGUGAUUGUUAAGUUUCCUGAGGCCUUCCCAGCCAUGUGGAACUGUGAGUCGAAAAUUAAACCUCUUUUAUAAUUA